This 377-nucleotide unclassified non-coding RNA is filed under the name uncultured Simkaniaceae bacterium. RNAcentral describes it as "contains 16S-23S intergenic spacer region". Lineage: Bacteria; Pseudomonadati; Chlamydiota; Chlamydiia; Parachlamydiales; Simkaniaceae. The record is from RNAcentral.
UCCUAGUUAACCUAGGCAGUCUCAUUAGAGUCCCCACCUUACGUGUUGGCAACUAAUGAUAAGGGUUGCGCUCGUUGCUGGACUUAACCAAACACCUCACGGCACGAGCUGACGACAGCCAUGCAGCACCUAUAUAAUAGUCCUUGCGGAACUCUUCAUCUCUGAAGAUGUCCAUUACAUUUCGAGCCUGGGUAAGGUUCUUCGCGUUGCAUCGAAUUAAACCACAUGCUCCACUGCUUGUGCGGGCCCCCGUCAAUUCUUUUGAGUUUCACCCUUGCGAGCGUACUCCCCAGGCGGUAUACUUAUCGCGUUAGCUUCGACACAAUCAGGGUUGAGCCUAAUUACAUCAAGUAUACAUCGUUUACGGCAAGGACUAC